Long non-coding RNA from Numida meleagris (helmeted guineafowl), 827 nucleotides. RefSeq lists it as uncharacterized. Lineage: Eukaryota; Metazoa; Chordata; Aves; Galliformes; Numididae. The transcript is spliced from 4 exons. The record is from RefSeq and is a predicted model, not a curated record.
UUGUGGAUUUAAACAAUUUUGUGGGACUGAGUAGGAACUGUUUGUCAUUUUUGCUUCUGCCAGGAAUCACAGCCAUCUAUCUGAAAGCUCAGCCUGAAGAAGAUUAGAGGCAUCCCACGUCAUGAACUGCAACACUGCUGCAAUAUAUGUCAUGCACUGUCUGGAAGGUUUACGGAGCGAAGGCCAACGAGACGGCUCCCAGUGGCUUUGUUGGGGCAGACACCCAGCUACUCCUGGUUUAUAACUCCGCAACGAGGAAUCGCAUCCAGACAGCAUGCAGUGACGCAUCAGAAGGAUGGCGCAGAUGAAGGGCGAAUAUUGAAUUCGGCGGUUAGCCUAAUGUGCACCUGUUGAGGAGCUGGUCUGGCGAGAUGUGCACGGGCGGCUGGCGAGCUGUCAAGGCCCGGGGUUUGAUCCUUUCCCAUGAGGUUCAGUGCACAGAAUCACAAAAUCAUUGAGAUUGCCGAAGACCUUCCAGGCCAUCUCAUCCGUCCAUCAACUCAAGCUGGACUCGGUACUUUUAAUGGGCUGGAAAAUAUUCUUCCUGUGAAGUUGCAGUUUUCGGAGGGCUUUGAAUGAGUCCACUCUGCCAUUGGCUCUGCCCAACGCCUCGCGAUUGGCUCGGCAGCCCGCGGGGGACCGAUAAGGGCGGCUAUAAAAGCCCUCAGCACUGCUCCCGGUCCCCCAUUGAGCGCAGCCGGAGGGGUCACCACGCAUUGCCGGGCAGCGGUCCCCAACCCCGGGCGCGCUCCUUGCAUUCCCAUCCAGCUCCACAUCUUUGCUCGAGCCGGAGUGGAAGAACCCAUACACCAAAAAAAAAAAAAAAA